GACGAACGCUGGCGGCGUGCUUAACACAUGCAAGUCGAGCGGAAAGGCCACUUCGGUGGUACUCGAGCGGCGAACGGGUGAGUAACACGUGAGUAAUCUGCCCCUGGCUUUGGGAUAGCCACCGGAAACGGUGAUUAAUACCGGAUACGACCACUUCUCGCAUGGGAUGGUGGUGGAAAGUUUUUUCGGCUAGGGAUGUGCUCGCGGCCUAUCAGCUUGAUGGUGAGGUAAUGGCUCACCAUGGCUUCGACGGGUAGCCGGCCUGAGAGGGUGACCGGUCACACUGGGACUGAGACACGGCCCAGACUCCUACGGGAGGCAGCAGUGGGGAAUAUUGGACAAUGGGCGGAAGCCUGAUCCAGCAACGCCGCGUGAGGGAUGACGGCCUUCGGGUUGUAAACCUCUUUCAGCAGGGACGAAGCGCAAGUGGCGGUACCUGCAGAAGAAGCACCGGCCAACUACGUGCCAGCCGCCGCGGUAA
Molecule: ribosomal RNA, 481 nt
Filed under: uncultured bacterium
Lineage: Bacteria
Description: partial 16S ribosomal RNA
Rfam family: Bacterial small subunit ribosomal RNA
Source: RNAcentral